AUGGAAGAACUAACUAAAGAAAUUGAAUUAACUGCCCUUUUUAAUAAAAUAUCGGUUGGCGCUAAAACAAUUAACUUAGAAGAAACAUUGGACAUAAUAUACCAAUUGGGCUAUUAUCCUUCUAAAGAAAACAUAGAUGAGUUUGUUUAUACUAAUAAUGGUAUUUACUCUUUGUCUAACAUUAAAAAAUUUUGCAAUAAACUUGAAUCAAUCGAUUGCUCUACCGAAGGAUUAAUAGACGUGUUUAAUCAUUAUGACAUAAAUAAAACAGGUAAAAUAUCAAAAGAAGUAAUUAAGAUGUUAUUUACUAAUGUUGGUUCUAAAUUAUCAAAUUCAGAGAUGGAUAUUAUUAUCAGUAAAUUGUGUAAAGCGGACGAACAAGUAGAUUAUAAGGAAUUUUUAAACAAGUAACAAUAUACAUACACAUAUUUGAAUGUACAUAUACAUUAACUUCAAGAGUAUAAAUGUACACGUUAACAUAUAUAUAUGUGGAGUUUAUUUUUUAUAGGCUAUUAAAUCAAUGAUAUAAAAAAUUUCUCCGUGUUAUACACACACACAUGUCCUAUAGCUAAACUUUUUACUUAUCAAAAAAAAAAAAAGUGUUUAAGGAUUUUGUAACCGCUUGAAUGGAUUAUUUACAUUUUUCUUAUCUUCGUUUUAUGCCACAUUUUCAUUAUUUUUAUUUUUUUUGUUAUAGAAUUCACAUUUUCAAAAAUGCGCUAUACAAAAUAAUAAAAUAACAAAAAUUUUACA
RNAcentral lists this long non-coding RNA (753 nucleotides) under Piliocolobus tephrosceles (Ugandan red Colobus). RNAcentral's name for it is "lncRNA (ENSPTEG00000012628.1)". The record is from RNAcentral. Lineage: Eukaryota; Metazoa; Chordata; Mammalia; Primates; Cercopithecidae.